Molecule: ribosomal RNA, 1926 nt
Filed under: human gut metagenome
Description: bacterial LSU rRNA
Rfam family: Bacterial large subunit ribosomal RNA
Source: RNAcentral
AGGGAAACAGCCCAGACCGCCGACUAAGGUCCCCAAUGCUGUACUAAGUGGAAAAGGAUGUAAGACUUCAUAAACAACCAGGAUGUUGGCUUAGAAGCAGCCACCAUUAAAAGAGUGCGUAAUAGCUCACUGGUCGAGAGGCCUUGCGCCGAAGAUGUCCGGGGCUCAAGUACAGAACCGAAGUCGCGGCAGGAUUAUAUAAUUCUGGGUAGGGGAGCGUUGUAUAUCCGACUGAAGGUGUACCGGAAGGAGCGCUGGAGGAUAUACAAGAGAGAAUGCCGGUAUGAGUAGCGAAAAGAACAGUGAGAAUCUGUUCCACCGAAAGCCUAAGGUUUCCUGAGCAACGCUCGUCGACUCAGGGUAAGUCGGGACCUAAGCCGAGGCAAAAAGCAUAGGCGAUGGACAACAGGUUAAUAUUCCUGUACCGCUUCAAAUCGUUUGAGCAAUGGAGUGACACAGAAGGUAGCUUGAGCACGCGAUUGGAUGUGCGUGUCGAAGGUGGUAGGUUGCAGUAUAGGCAAAUCCGUACUGUAUAAGACCGAGAACUGAUAGAUAGACAAUACUUCGGUAAAGUCAAAUUCAAGUGAGCCAUGCUGUCGAGAAAAGCUUCUAGUGAGAGAUGAGGCGCCCGUACCGAAACCGACACAGGUAGGCGGGGAGAGAAUCCUAAGGUGCGCGGGACAACCCUCGUUAAGGAACUCGGCAAAUUGUAUCCGUAACUUAGGGAUAAGGAUAGCCGGAGGAUGUGAAGGGAUUUACUUCUGGAGCGUCAGCCGGUGGCACAAGAGAGGCCCAAGCGACUGUUUAGCACAAACACAGGUGCCUGCAAAAGAGAAAUCUGACGUAUAGGUGCUGACACCUGCCCGGUGCUGGAAGGUUAAGAGGAGGGCUUAGAGGCAACUCGAAGGCUUGAAUUGAAGCCCCAGUAAACGGCGGCCGUAACUAUAACGGUCCUAAGGUAGCGAAAUUCCUUGUCGGGUAAGUUCCGACCCGCACGAAAGGUGUAACGACUUGGGCACUGUCUCAACGAGGGACCCGGUGAAAUUGAAGUACCUGUGAAGAUGCAGGUUACCCGCGACUGGACAGAAAGACCCCAUGGAGCUUUACUGCAACCUGACAUUGAUGUUCGGUAAAUAACGUACAGGAUAGGUGGGAGACGGAGAAGUAUUGGCGUUAGCUGAUAUGGAGUCAACCUUGGGAUACCACCCUUUAUUUAUUGGACCUCUAACUGAAGAAGUAACGACUCUCAGGACAGUAUCAGGCGGGCAGUUUGACUGGGGCGGUCGCCUCCCAAAAUGUAACGGAGGCGCCCAAAGGUUCCCUCAGCGCGAACGGAAACCGCGCAAAGAGUGUAAAGGCAGAAGGGAGCUUGACUGCGAGUCAGACACGACGAGCAGGUACGAAAGUAGGGCUUAGUGAUCCGGUGGUUCCGAGUGGAAGGGCCAUCGCUCAACGGAUAAAAGCUACCCUGGGGAUAACAGGCUAAUCUCUCCCAAGAGUCCAUAUCGACGGGGAGGUUUGGCACCUCGAUGUCGGCUCAUCACAUCCUGGGGCUGGAGCAGGUCCCAAGGGUUGGGCUGUUCGCCCAUUAAAGUGGUACGUGAGCUGGGUUCAGAACGUCGUGAGACAGUUCGGUCCAUAUCCAUCGCGGGCGUAAGAGACUUGAAGGGGGCUGCUCCUAGUACGAGAGGACCGGAGUGGACGGACCAAUGGUGUACCAAUUAUCCCGCCAGGGGUACAGUUGGGUAGCUACGUCCGGAAAAGAUAAACGCUGAAAGCAUCUAAGCGUGAAACUUGCCUUAAGAUGAGGUCUCCCGAAGCGAAAGCUUGAAAGACACCUUGAAGAUGACGAGGUUGAUAGGCCAGGAGUAGAAGUUCAGUAAUGAAUGUAGCGUACUGGUACUAAUAUGUCGAGAGCUUAACUUA